Molecule: ribosomal RNA, 485 nt
Filed under: uncultured bacterium
Lineage: Bacteria
Description: partial 16S ribosomal RNA
Rfam family: Bacterial small subunit ribosomal RNA
Source: RNAcentral
AGUGAACGCUGGCGGCGUGCUUAACACAUGCAAGUCGAACGAGAACGGAAUAUAGCUUGCUAUAUUUGUCAGCUAAGUGGCGCACGGGUGAGUAAUGUAUAGAUACCCUGCCCUUAAGAAAGGAAUAACAGUUGGAAACGACUGCUAAUGCCCUAUAUGCCUUUAAUACAUAAGUAUGCAAGGGAAACGCUUUAGUGCUUAAGGAUGGGUCUGUAUGGUAUCAGCUUGUAGAUGAGGUAAUGGCUAACAAAGGCUAUGACGCCUAACUGGUUUGAGAGGAUGAUCAGUAACACUGGAACUGAGACACGGUCCAGACUCCUACGGGAGGCAGCAGUGGGAAAUAUUGCACAAUGGACGAAAGUCUGAUGCAGCAACGCCGCGUGGAGGAUGACACAUUUCGGUGCGUAAACUCCUUUUAUAUAGGAAGAUAAUGACGGUACUAUAUGAAUAAGCACCGGCUAACUCCGUGCCAGCCGCCGCAGUAA